GACGAACGCUGGCGGCGUGCUUAACACAUGCAAGUCGAACGGAAAGGCCCUGCUUUUGUGUGGUUCUCGAGUGGCGAUCUGGUGAGUAACACUUGUGUAACCUUCCCUUUACUUUUUUAUAUCUUCAUGUAACUGUUUCUAAUACCCUAUAUGAGCUCCUCCUGCAUGGUGUUGGUUGGUAUGUUUCGGCGGUUGGGGAUGGACUCGCGGCUUAUCAGCUUGUUGGUGGGGUAGUGGCUUACCAUGGCUUUGACGGGUAGCCGGCAUGAGAGGGUGACCGGCGACAUUGGGACUGAGAUACGGAGCAGACUCGUACGGGAGGCAGCAGUGGGGAAUAUUGCAAAAUGGGAGGAAGCCUGAUGCAGCAAAGCAGCGUGCGGGAUGAAGGCCUUCGGGUUGUAAAAAGAAUUAGACUGUGACGAAGAGUGAGUGACGGUAAUGGGUAAAGAAGCAACGGCUAACUACGUG
This 468-nucleotide ribosomal RNA is filed under the name uncultured bacterium. RNAcentral describes it as "partial 16S ribosomal RNA". It matches the Rfam family "Bacterial small subunit ribosomal RNA", at positions 28 to 507 of the family's 1533-position model. The record is from RNAcentral.